RNAcentral lists this transfer RNA (81 nucleotides) under Ixodes scapularis (black-legged tick). It matches the Rfam family "tRNA". Rfam says of the family: Transfer RNA (tRNA) molecules are approximately 80 nucleotides in length. Their secondary structure includes four short double-helical elements and three loops (D, anti-codon, and T loops). The record is from Rfam by way of RNAcentral. Lineage: Eukaryota; Metazoa; Arthropoda; Arachnida; Ixodida; Ixodidae.
GCAGUCGUGGCCGAGUGGUUAGGGCGGUGGACUAGAAAUCCACUGGGGUCUCCCCGCACACGUUGGAAUCCUGUCGAUGCG